RNAcentral lists this long non-coding RNA (234 nucleotides) under Elaeis guineensis (African oil palm). Its description in RNAcentral is "long non-coding RNA (EGUI_LNC050864)". Lineage: Eukaryota; Viridiplantae; Streptophyta; Magnoliopsida; Arecales; Arecaceae. The record is from RNAcentral.
CCUCUCUUUUUCCCAUGCCCAAAGGUUGGGCAUCACACCUUUCUACAUGCCAAGAGUUGAGGAGUUGUUCAUCUACAGCAAGAAACGAAGAGAAAAUGCUGUAGAUCAAAAAGUUAAUUCUGCAGUCUAGAUCAAAGAGUUAAUCAAGAUUCUAAAGAGCUGAGAUCCUAUUUGGAGAAGAAAGAUCUACUAUGAGAAGAUCGAUUCAAGAUUGAUCCUAGUGGAUAUCCAUAG